CCUACGGGAGGCUGCAGUGAGGAAUAUUGGUCAAUGGUCGGGAGACUGAACCAGCCAAGCCGCGUGAGGGAUGAAGGUACAGAGUAUCGUAAACCUCUUUUGUCAGGGAACAAAGGUGGGGACGCGUCCCCGGAUGAGUGUACCUGAAGAAAAAGCAUCGGCUAACUCCGUGCCAGCAGCCGCGGUAAUACGGAGGAUGCGAGCGUUAUCCGGAUUUAUGGGGUUUAAAGGGUGCGCAGGCGGUCUGUUAAGUCAGCGGUCAAAGCCCGGGGCUCAACCCCGGCCCGCCGUUGAAACUGGCAGUCUCGAGUUGGAGAGAAGUAUGCGGAAUGCGCGGUGUAGCGGUGAAAUGCAUAGAUAUCGCGCAGAACUCCGAUUGCGAAGGCAGCAUGCCGGCUCCACACUGACGCUGAGGCACGAAAGCGUGGGUAUCGAACAGGAUUAGAUACCCUUGUAGUC
Molecule: ribosomal RNA, 459 nt
Filed under: uncultured bacterium
Lineage: Bacteria
Description: partial 16S ribosomal RNA
Rfam family: Bacterial small subunit ribosomal RNA
Source: RNAcentral